RNAcentral lists this long non-coding RNA (354 nucleotides) under Elaeis guineensis (African oil palm). Its description in RNAcentral is "long non-coding RNA (EGUI_LNC062799)". The record is from RNAcentral. Lineage: Eukaryota; Viridiplantae; Streptophyta; Magnoliopsida; Arecales; Arecaceae.
UAGCCACCUCUCUCCGCCAGACACCCCAGCUGAACACCGGCCGAUGGACCAUCACUCCCUGACAGGCCAUAAUAAUGGCCACAAUCCUGCUCCACUUCCUGCGACGGAUUCCACGCGGCUCCAUCACCCCCUGGCAGGCCGCAGCAACAGCCACAACUCUGCUCCACCUCCUACGACAGAUUCCACGCGGCUCCAUCACUUCCUGGCAGGCCAUGAUAAUGGCCACAAUCCUGCUCCACUUCCUGCGACGGAUACCGCGCGAUUCUUCCAUUCUCUGGCGAAUCGCGACAACGGACGCCGCUCCGCUCCCCGCGACGGACUCCACGUGGCACGCCCCGGUGAUAGCCACGGGUC